GACGAACGCUGGCGGCGUGCUUAACACAUGCAAGUCGAACGGUGAACUCCGCUUGCGGGGGGAUCAGUGGCGAACGGGUGAGUAACACGUGGGCAACCUGCCCUCAGCUCUGGGAUAACUCCAAGAAAUUGGGACUAAUACCGGAUAUGACCGCUGACCGCAUGGUCUGGUGGUGGAAAGAUUUAUCGGCUGGGGAUGGGCCCGCGGCCUAUCAGCUUGUUGGUGGGGUAGUGGCCUACCAAGGCGACGACGGGUAGCCGGCCUGAGAGGGUGACCGGCCACACUGGGACUGAGACACGGCCCAGACUCCUACGGGAGGCAGCAGUGGGGAAUAUUGCGCAAUGGGCGAAAGCCUGACGCAGCGACGCCGCGUGGGGGAUGACGGCCUUCGGGUUGUAAACCUCUUUCAGCAGGGACGAAGCGAAAGUGACGGUACCUGCAGAAGAAGCACCGGCCAACUACGUG
Molecule: ribosomal RNA, 465 nt
Filed under: uncultured bacterium
Lineage: Bacteria
Description: partial 16S ribosomal RNA
Rfam family: Bacterial small subunit ribosomal RNA
Source: RNAcentral